GUGUGAAGCCCCAGUGCAGAAAGUGAAAGUGGGACUAAUCCCGGCUGCUGCAGCACCGCCGAGUGAGCGCCAGGGAGGGGCGGGGCUCCAGGGCACGGCGCCCGGUCACGUGACGCGCGUCCGCCCAAUCCCAGCGGGCCCUCGCCGCGCGCAGAGCUGGGCCUGGGUAGCUCUUCUCUCUCAAUGAAAGCUAUAUUUUGGGCUGUUACCACCUAAACGCCAUGUGGAAACAAUGCACCUCCCUCCACUUCAGGUCCCCCUUGCCUGUAAACCUCGAGAGCUGGACGUCCCUUAGCCUGGGAGUUCCUGGACACUGUGCACAAUCACUCGUCAACCGCUACCUACUAGGUAUAGGUUCAUCUAGGCCAGCAGGGAAGGUGCCACUUGGAAGAUUGCUGGGUUUCCUGCUUCGAAGUCUUCAGGAGCGGGCUGAGCUGCGCUGGUGUGCCGCUUAGGACUGCAAUGAGGAGGGUGACGUUAGAAGGUCUUUAAAACGUUACGUUUACUAUUUUAGGAAACAGAUUUUCAAAGAAUCAAGGGUAGGGGACAAAAUACAUUUGGGCUAGGAUUUUAGUGAAGAGGGAUCACGCCCAGAAUGAGGGAUAGUAAAAGAGUGGUGGUAUGGGGCUCUGAUAUCGCUUAAUCUGUAAU
This 651-nucleotide long non-coding RNA is filed under the name Homo sapiens (human). Its description in RNAcentral is "HSALNT0110962". Lineage: Eukaryota; Metazoa; Chordata; Mammalia; Primates; Hominidae. The record is from RNAcentral.